GGAUGUGAGGGCGAUCUGGCUGUGACAUCUGUCACCCCACUGAUCGCCAGGGUUGAUUCAGCUGAUCUGGCUGGCUAGGCGGGUGUCCCCUCCUUCCUCAUUGCUCCAUGUGUCCCUCCCAGAAGCUGUGAGCUUGGUCAAAGAGGAUGGCCUUCCCCUAAUAGAGACAGACCCGUCUUCCUUCAGGGGUAUACUUGCACUUCCCUGCUAGAACCUCCAAACAAGCUCUCAAGACAUUCAGACCCAUAGAAGUUGUGACUUGCCCAGGAUCACACAGCUAGAAAAUGGCAGAACAUUAGUGGGAAUCUCCUUCUUUCCUUU
This is an unclassified non-coding RNA of Erinaceus europaeus (western European hedgehog), 321 nucleotides long. Its record names the gene 7SK. It matches the Rfam family "7SK RNA". Rfam says of the family: 7SK was discovered as an abundant small nuclear RNA in the mid-70s but a possible function has only recently been suggested. Two independent studies have found that 7SK RNA binds the CDK9/cyclin T complex (known as elongation factor P-TEFb). P-TEFb activates transcription by phosphorylating the C-terminal domain of RNA polymerase II. The record is from Ensembl. NCBI's taxonomy places the organism in Eukaryota, Metazoa, Chordata, Mammalia, Eulipotyphla, Erinaceidae.